This 465-nucleotide ribosomal RNA is filed under the name uncultured bacterium. RNAcentral describes it as "SSU rRNA". It matches the Rfam family "Bacterial small subunit ribosomal RNA", at positions 26 to 518 of the family's 1533-position model. The record is from RNAcentral.
AGCCUGAACGCUGGCGGCGUGGCUAAGACAUGCAAGUCGUACGGAGGUAGCAAUACCUCAGUGGCGAACGGGUGAGUAAUGAAUCGUUAACGUGCCCCGGACUCUGGGAUAGCCGGUCGAAAGGCCGGGUAAUACCAGAUGAUAUACCUUUAUCGCAUGAUAGAGGUCUCAAAGGUCCGCCGGUCUGGGAGCGGGCGAUUUCGUAUCAGCUAGUUGGUGAGGUAACGGCUCACCAAGGCGACGACGCGUAGCCGGACUGAGAGGUUGGCCGGCCACAUUGGGACUGAGACACUGCCCAGACUCCUACGGGGGGCUGCAGUAACGAAUCUUCCGCAAUGCACGAAAGUGUGACGGAGCGACGCCGCGUGUGGGACGAAGCCCUUCGGGGUGUAAACCACUGUCAGAGGAAAGAAAGUUCUGAUCUACCUCAGAGGAAGAGGCGGCUAACUCUGCGCCAGCAGCCGC